AUUGCUUCUAGGCCUUUUGGCUAAGAUCAAGUGUAGUAUCUGUUCUUAUCAGUUUAAAAAAUACUAGACACUAUUCUGCGACAAAAGUAAAAUAAUUCCACCACUU
The sequence is a small nuclear RNA, 106 nucleotides long. Its record names the gene U2. It matches the Rfam family "U2 spliceosomal RNA". From Rfam's summary of the family: U2 is a small nuclear RNA (snRNA) component of the spliceosome (involved in pre-mRNA splicing). Complementary binding between U2 snRNA (in an area lying towards the 5' end but 3' to hairpin I) and the branchpoint sequence (BPS) of the intron results the bulging out of an unpaired adenosine, on the BPS, which initiates a nucleophilic attack at the intronic 5' splice site, thus starting the first of two transesterification reactions that mediate splicing. The record is from Ensembl.